CUGUCAAUCAGUUGGCUGUGCUUUUUGGACUUGGAUUAGGCGACCAGCAGCAGCAGCAGCAGCAACAACAGCAAUCGCAGCAGCAGCCGCUCUACUUGCAACGUAUUGUUAUUCUGUUAUAACCAAAAACAGCUGUUUUGCCUAACAUGUGUGCCUGUCUAUGUCUAUAUCUGUAUGAGUGUGUGGGUUUGUG
This is a long non-coding RNA of Drosophila arizonae, 193 nucleotides long. The record is from RefSeq and is a predicted model, not a curated record. Lineage: Eukaryota; Metazoa; Arthropoda; Insecta; Diptera; Drosophilidae.